RNAcentral lists this ribosomal RNA (273 nucleotides) under uncultured Exiguobacterium sp. Its description in RNAcentral is "partial 16S ribosomal RNA". It matches the Rfam family "Bacterial small subunit ribosomal RNA", at positions 524 to 796 of the family's 1533-position model. Lineage: Bacteria; Bacillati; Bacillota; Bacilli; Caryophanales. The record is from RNAcentral.
UACUUAUUUGUCACUCUUUGUCCGGAAUUAUUGGGCGUAAAGCGCGCGCAGGCGGCCUCUUAAGUCUGAUGUGAAAGCCCCCGGCUCAACCGGGGAGGGCCAUUGGAAACUGGGAGGCUUGAGUAUAGGAGAGAAGAGUGGAAUUCCACGUGUAGCGGUGAAAUGCGUAGAGAUGUGGAGGAACACCAGUGGCGAAGGCGACUCUUUGGCCUAUAACUGACGCUGAGGCGCGAAAGCGUGGGGAGCAAACAGGAUUAGAUAACCCGGUAGUCC